RNAcentral lists this small RNA (291 nucleotides) under Aspergillus carbonarius ITEM 5010. Its description in RNAcentral is "5' ureB small RNA". It matches the Rfam family "5' ureB small RNA". Lineage: Eukaryota; Fungi; Ascomycota; Eurotiomycetes; Eurotiales; Aspergillaceae. The record is from Rfam by way of RNAcentral.
UCGUCCACCUGCUGGGGACAGAUGAAGUGGAUGUGGGUGUCAAAUCCUCCAGCGGUAAUGAUCUUGUUUUCUCCUGCAAUCACAUCGGUUGAGGAGCCAACUACCAUGCCCGGGGUGACACCGUCCAUGAUAUCGGGGUUUCCAGCCUUACCAAUCCCCACGAUUAUUCCGUCCUUGAUACCAAUAUCAGCCUUGAAGAUACCCGUCCAGUCAAUGAUUAGAGCGUUCGUGACAACCGUGUCCAGACUAUCAUUCGUGGACUUCUCAGAAGACUGGCCCAUGCCGUCACGA